RNAcentral lists this ribosomal RNA (430 nucleotides) under uncultured bacterium. Its description in RNAcentral is "bacterial SSU rRNA". It matches the Rfam family "Bacterial small subunit ribosomal RNA", at positions 65 to 507 of the family's 1533-position model. The record is from RNAcentral.
AACGGGGUCCAUGGGAGCUUGCUCCCGGAAGACCUAGUGGCGAACGGGUGAGUAACACGUGAGAAACCUGCCCUGGAGUGGGGAAUAACUCGGGGAAACUCGAGCUAAUACCGCAUACCCUCGGAUGGUCGCAUGGCCGACCGAGGAAAGAUUCAUCGCUUCAGGAGGGUCUCGCGGCCUAUCAGCUAGUUGUGGGGUAACGGCCUACCAAGGCAACGACGGGUAGCUGGUUUGAGAGAACGAUCAGCCACACUGGGACUGAGACACGGCCCAGACUCCUACGGGAGGCAGCAGUGGGGAAUCUUGCGCAAUGGGCGAAAGCCUGACGCAGCAACGCCGCGUGCGGGAUGACGGCCUUCGUGGUUGUAAACCGCUUUCAGCAGGGACGAAAAUGACGGUACCUGCAGAAGAAGCCCCGGCUAACUACGUG